Molecule: long non-coding RNA, 220 nt
Organism: Polyodon spathula (Mississippi paddlefish)
Lineage: Eukaryota; Metazoa; Chordata; Actinopteri; Acipenseriformes; Polyodontidae
Exons: 3
Source: RefSeq, a predicted model, not a curated record
UCAGGUUCAGGUCCUGUCAGCCCAGAGCUACAGCCUUGUGCAGCCAGAGUGAGCUGUGGACACUGCGCUCACACAUUCCUGUGGACUGACUUUACAAAGAAGAAACUUGCCAGAUGCCCUCACUGUCAGAAAGUGUCCGUUAUUGGGCAGCGUUACCCCAGGCAACGCUGUGUUUACUUUUUCAUGCUGGGUCUCUUCUUUGCUGUCAUCGCUGGAGGAA